GUGGUUGACGAGGGCCGAGUGAGUCAGCCGGUAGAGUGGGGGCUCCGUUUACAGGCUUUGUUCCAGGUGCGUACUCAAAAACGCUUUAAAUUACUCACACGGUGACAUGGAGCCCCUUAUUGACAACCACAGGGGCAGCGUGUAGUGGCGUUCGCUAAGUGCUGGGACACACAAGGGCAGUAAAUACCAGUGUCAUCUCUGGGAGACAACAAAAAGAUAACAAUACAACAAAUGCAGCAGAGAUGAGGAUUGUACUCCGUAUUGACACUCCAACUGCAGCAGGAAGUGAGUCCAUAUAUCUGCUGCGCAGGAAACGGGCCCUUCAGCCAUCCUGUCCACCACUUCAAUACUACAGGUGUUGCUAAUGAUUUCACAAAACGACCGUACCGAGCAGCAAAUACAGAGGGAAUUACAGUAUUAUCAUGGACGUGGACAAUGACCACUUCACUUCAUGAAGAAAAAGAGAGGCUUCAUCGUCGAAUAACGAGUAUAUGCUCCUGUUGCCAGUCCUUCCUUCGCAGCGCUGUGGAGAUAGGUCUGGAAAUGCGAGACUAGGU
Molecule: long non-coding RNA, 557 nt
Organism: Perca flavescens (yellow perch)
Lineage: Eukaryota; Metazoa; Chordata; Actinopteri; Perciformes; Percidae
Exons: 3
Source: RefSeq, a predicted model, not a curated record